This 478-nucleotide ribosomal RNA is filed under the name uncultured bacterium. RNAcentral describes it as "partial 16S ribosomal RNA". It matches the Rfam family "Bacterial small subunit ribosomal RNA", at positions 28 to 523 of the family's 1533-position model. The record is from RNAcentral.
GACGAACGCUGGCGGUGUGCUUAACACAUGCAAGUCGAACGGUAAGGCCCUUCGGGGUACACGAGUGGCGAACGGGUGAGUAGCACGUGGGUGAUCUGCCCUGCACUUCGGGAUAAGCCUGGGAAACUGGGUCUAAUACCGGAUAGGACCACUGCCUGCAUGGGUGGUGGUGGAAAGCUUUUGCGGUGUGGGAUGGGCCCGCGGCCUAUCAGCUUGUUGGUGGGGUGAUGGCCUACCAAGGCGACGACGGGUAGCCGGCCUGAGAGGGUGACCGGCCACACUGGGACUGAGAUACGGCCCAGACUCCUACGGGAGGCAGCAGUGGGGAAUAUUGCACAAUGGGCGCAAGCCUGAUGCAGCGACGCCGCGUGAGGGAUGACGGCCUUCGGGUUGUAAACCUCUUUCAGCACCGACGAAGCGCAAGUGACGGUAGGUGCAGAAGAAGGACCGGCCAACUACGUGCCAGCCGCCGCGGUAA